UUGGUUCAGUGGUAGAAUGCUCGCCUGCCAUGCGGGCGCCCCGGGUUCGAUUCCCGGCCGAU
Molecule: transfer RNA, 62 nt
Filed under: Cordylochernes scorpioides
Lineage: Eukaryota; Metazoa; Arthropoda; Arachnida; Pseudoscorpiones; Chernetidae
Description: tRNA-Gly
Rfam family: tRNA
About the family: Transfer RNA (tRNA) molecules are approximately 80 nucleotides in length.
Source: RNAcentral